GUGGGUAUAGCGAAGUUGGUUAUCGCGUCAGAUUGUGGCUCUGAAGGCCCAGGGUUCGAAUCCCUGUACUCACC
This 74-nucleotide transfer RNA is filed under the name [Bacteroides] pectinophilus. RNAcentral describes it as "tRNA-His". It matches the Rfam family "tRNA". Rfam says of the family: Transfer RNA (tRNA) molecules are approximately 80 nucleotides in length. Their secondary structure includes four short double-helical elements and three loops (D, anti-codon, and T loops). The record is from RNAcentral. Lineage: Bacteria; Bacillati; Bacillota; Clostridia; Eubacteriales. RNAcentral also lists the same sequence under 2 other names.